AUCUCUGUAGAGUCUGCAUAUCAAUAAGCGGAGGAAAAGAAACUAACAAGGAUUCCCCUAGUAACGGCGAGUGAAGCGGGAAGAGCUCAAAUUUGAAAUCUUCAAGGUUCUACCUUGACGAAUUGUAGUUUAAAGAAGUGUUUUCGGUUAGAGGAGUAGUAAAAGUUCUUUGGAAUAGGACAUCAUAGAGGGUGAGAAUCCCGUAUUUGACUAUUCUUUCUAGCUUUGUGAUACACUUUCAAAGAGUCGGAUUGUUUGGGGAUGCAGUCCAAAAUGGGUGGUAAAUUUCAUCUAAAGCUAAAUAUUGGCGAGAGACCGAUAGCGAACAAGUACCGUGAGGGAAAGAUGAAAAGAACUUUGAAAAGAGAGUUAAACAGUACGUGAAAUUGUCAAAAGGGAAGCGUUUGACACCAGUGUUGUUUUUCCGAAAAUCAAUUAAAAAUUGAUUCAUGCCAGGUUGUAUUGACCUUAUCAGCUUGCAAUUUGGUUUUGGGUCUCUUUUUGAUGCACUUUUCGGUUAACAAGUCAACAUCAAUUUCCUUUGCUGUAAAAAGGUAAGAGGAAGGUGGCUUCAAUUUCGGUUGAAGUGUUUAUAGCCUUUUAUCUCUGCAGUCGGGGAGAUUGAGGUCUGCAGCGUAGAUCCUUCGGGGCUAGAUACAUUUAUGCUAAGUUAUAGCUUUUCAUAGACAACUUGUUGACUAUGUUUAGUCAUGUAGCUUACUCGUAAGUGCUAUUUUACCUACGCUUAGGAUGUUGAGCGCAUGUCUCUCUCU
RNAcentral lists this ribosomal RNA (773 nucleotides) under uncultured Neocallimastigales. RNAcentral's name for it is "partial large subunit ribosomal RNA". It matches the Rfam family "Eukaryotic large subunit ribosomal RNA", at positions 24 to 642 of the family's 3401-position model. The record is from RNAcentral. Lineage: Eukaryota; Fungi; Neocallimastigomycota; Neocallimastigomycetes; Neocallimastigales.